This 484-nucleotide long non-coding RNA is filed under the name Hordeum vulgare. RNAcentral describes it as "long non-coding RNA (HVUL_LNC017437)". Lineage: Eukaryota; Viridiplantae; Streptophyta; Magnoliopsida; Poales; Poaceae. The record is from RNAcentral.
CUUGGAUCAUAUGACCAUCGUCAUGAUCCUCAGUAGUCUUAUCAUCUUCGUCAUCCGAUUCCUGAUUCGCAAGAACCCAAAAACGACCUCCAAACUAAAUAGAACGAGAAGUGAGAUCAAUACAUACCUUAUCCUCCUGACUGUCGAUGUGUUGUUCAUAUAACAAGUCACCAACACAGCAUUGAAACCCAUCUAUCUCCAAGCAUUGUCCAAUCUUCGGGCUUUCAGAUUCUUGCAGAUAUAGACCCGCCAAGAUGUCAUUGUCUACAUCCCUAAUAGUAAUCCAACGAGAUACCUGAUGUAGAUGCAGAGAACCAAAUCGCUGCACUCGGGAAGCAGUCGUGGUAUCUUCGAAAGAGGCCGCCCAUUUCAGAUGCGUCGGUGACGAGUGUAGAUAUUAAUCAUGUUGCUCAUGCAGGAUUAGGAAAGAAAGCCAAACCGAGUCUUAGUAGUAUUAGGAUUCCUAGUCCUAGUCUAUUUCUAU